RNAcentral lists this ribosomal RNA (507 nucleotides) under uncultured bacterium. RNAcentral's name for it is "partial 16S ribosomal RNA". It matches the Rfam family "Bacterial small subunit ribosomal RNA", at positions 28 to 507 of the family's 1533-position model. The record is from RNAcentral.
GACGAACGCUGGCGGCGUGCCUAAUACAUGCAAGUCGAACGCAUUCUCUUUCACCGUAGCUUGCUACACCGAAAGAAAAUGAGUGGCGAACGGGUGAGUAACACGUGGGUAACCUCCCCAUCAGCGGCGGAUAACACUUUGAAACAGGUGCUAAUACCGCCUAAUUCCAUUUACCGCAUGGUAGAUGGGUUUACGCCGCUUUUGCGUCCGUUAUGGAUGGACCUGCGGUGCAUUAGAUAGUUGGUGGGGUAACGGGCUACCAAGGCUGCGAUGCAUAGCCGACCUGAGGAGGUGAUCGGCCAAACUGGGACUGAGACACGGCCCAGAAUCCUACGGGAGGCAGCAGUAGGGAAUCUUCGGCAAUGGACGGAAGUCUGACCGAAGAAAGCCGCGUGAGUGAAGAAGGUUUUCGGAUCGGAAAACUCUGUUGUUAGAGAAGAAAAAGGAUGAGAGUGGAAAGUUCAUCCCUUGACGGUAUCUAACGAGAAAGCCACGGCUAACUACGUG